Molecule: non-coding RNA, 111 nt
Submitted as: unclassified sequences
Source: Rfam
AGCACCGUUGGACAGGAUCGGUCCCGAGGGUUGGGGAGCCCGUUGAAAGAUCGCAUCUCUGAGAUGGCGCUGGGUCAUAGGGAGCCUAGAACCGUCGUUCCGGCGAAGGAG